AUAUUUGGGUAUCAAACUUUAUUUUAAUAUUCAGAAUAUAUUGCACCGAAACUAUGAAGACUUAUAUACUACAACCCAUAAACAAUUGACUAAGUGGGGCAAAAUCGAAAUUUCAUGGUUGGGGCGAUUGAAUAUAGUGAAUGCAUAUUCUAUUCCGAAAUUGCUAUUUUUAUUCAGGUCUUUACCCUUUAAACUAGGCAAAUAUAGGAUCCUACAAUUCCAAAGAUUAUUUUCUAACUUUGUUUGGGGUAAUAAACUACCGUGAAUAUUCCAAUUGGUAGCCGGUUUGUUGGAUGAAUUAAAAAAAACUGAAAAUUAAGUUUAACCUCUUGGAUUCUAUACUAAUACAAGCCCCAAUAGAAAUUCUUCAGUAUAACAUGAUCGAUAUGGACAUGUACAAUUGGAAGUUAAAGGGGAUAAACAAAAUUGCAGACUUAUAUGAAAAUAAUAUAUUGAAUAGUUUUCUGGGUUUACAAACUAUAUAUAAUAUACCCUCUAGUGACAUUUGUCGGUAUUUAAGGAUUAAACACUAUCUAAAUUCAAAAUUUUUAGGAUAUUUAGAUAGAGUAGGAACUAAGGGCUUAAUAACCAGAUUUUCCAAAUUAUUGGAAGAUGAGGCAGGUAAAAUUGCACCAAUAGUGAAAUGGGAG
Non-coding RNA from Pelobates cultripes (western spadefoot toad), 650 nucleotides. The record is from the annotation of a GenBank genome assembly. Lineage: Eukaryota; Metazoa; Chordata; Amphibia; Anura; Pelobatidae.